UACGUAGGGUGCGAGCGUUAAUCGGAAUUACUGGGCGUAAAGCGUGCGCAGGCGGUCUGUUAAGACCGAUGUGAAAUCCCCGGGCUUAACCUGGGAACUGCAUUGGUGACUGGCAGGCUUUGAGUGUGGCAGAGGGAGGUAGAAUUCCACGUGUAGCAGUGAAAUGCGUAGAGAUGUGGAGGAAUCCGAUGGCGAAGGCAGCCUCCUGGGCCAACACUGACGCUCAUGCACGAAAGCGUGGGGAGCAAACAG
RNAcentral lists this ribosomal RNA (252 nucleotides) under uncultured bacterium. RNAcentral describes it as "partial 16S ribosomal RNA". It matches the Rfam family "Bacterial small subunit ribosomal RNA", at positions 524 to 775 of the family's 1533-position model. The record is from RNAcentral.